Molecule: ribosomal RNA, 468 nt
Filed under: uncultured bacterium
Lineage: Bacteria
Description: partial 16S ribosomal RNA
Rfam family: Bacterial small subunit ribosomal RNA
Source: RNAcentral
GACGAACGCUGGCGGCGUGCUUAACACAUGCAAGUCAAACGGAAAGGCCCUGCUUUUGUGGGGUGCUCGAGUGGCGAACGGGUGAGUAACACGUGAGUAACCUGCCCUUGACUUUGGGAUAACUUCAGGAAACUGGGGCUAAUACCGGAUAGGAGCUCCUGCUGCAUGGUGGGGGUUGGAAAGUUUCGGCGGUUGGGGAUGGACUCGCGGCUUAUCAGCUUGUUGGUGGGGUAGUGGCUUACCAAGGCUUUGACGGGUAGCCGGGCUGAGAGGGUGACCGGCCACAUUGGGACUGAGAUACGGCCCAGACUCCUACGGGAGGCAGCAGUGGGGAAUAUUGCACAAUGGGCGGAAGCCUGAUGCAGCAACGCCGCGUGCGGGAUGACGGCCUUCGGGUUGUAAACCGCUUUCGCCUGUGACGAAGCGUGAGUGACGGUAAUGGGUAAAGAAGCACCGGCUAACUACGUG